Long non-coding RNA from Panicum virgatum (switchgrass), 588 nucleotides. RefSeq lists it as uncharacterized. NCBI's taxonomy places the organism in Eukaryota, Viridiplantae, Streptophyta, Magnoliopsida, Poales, Poaceae. The transcript has 5 exons. The record is from RefSeq and is a predicted model, not a curated record.
AUUAUGCUGAGUGUCAUUUUUGGUUUUUGGAGUUGACAGAAGCCAUGGCUCAAACUUUCAAGCUCCUGUGGCAAUGCAGAAUUACUGAAUGGCAGAUUAUAGAAUGCAUGUGAGUGCUUGGUCCCAGCCUUUGGGACGUGUGGAAUUCAAUGGGGUAGGCGAUGUCUGCGAAUAUGGCUGCCUGCAUUGCCGUAGAGAGCAUAUCAAUUCUUGAGAAGCUCCAUUCUAAUGGCGCCACAGCUCAGUUGUCAUGAUAAUGAAAGACCCUGAUGCACAGCUCCACCUUCUGCCUGAUAGAUGCUUCAUGGCACAGGACAUUAUGCACAAACAGCCCCUGCUCUUUUUGCAGGACCUUUGAAGGAGCUGAGGUUGUUCCUUGGUACACUGCAUGCUCCCGUUUCAUCUUCAAAGGAGGGUGGAAGGCACAGAGAAAAGAGAAGCUGAUAUCAGAGAAGUGUCAAGGGAUGAGCUGGAAUUCCUUCUAGAUCAUGAGUUGUGGUUCAAUGCUCUAAACACAAGCUUGAUAUGAAACUUUACUGAUGGCACUGUCAGGGCUGGAGGUACAUUACUGUUGGUCAGCUCUCCAUC